UGGCUCAGGACGAACGCUGGCGGCGUGCCUAAUACAUGCAAGUCGAACGGUCUUUCUAUGGAAGCUUGCUUCCACUGAGAAGAUAGUGGCGAACGGGUGAGUAACACGUGGGUAACCUGCCCAUAAGAGGGGGAUAACAUCCGGAAACGGGUGCUAAUACCGCAUAGUUUUCUUGAUCGCAUGAUUGAGAAAGGAAAGACGGCCUUUGUGCUGUCGCUUAUGGAUGGACCCGCGGCGUAUUAGUUAGUUGGUGAGGUAACGGCUCACCAAGACGAUGAUACGUAGCCGACCUGAGAGGGUGAUCGGCCACAUUGGGACUGAGACACGGCCCAAACUCCUACGGGAGGCAGCAGUAGGGAAUCUUCCGCAAUGGACGAAAGUCUGACGGAGCAACGCCGCGUGAGUGAAGAAAGGUUUUCGGAUCGUAAAACUCUGUUGUCAGAGAAGAACAAGUUGGAGAGUAACUGCUCCAGCCUUGACGGUAUCUGACCAGAAAGCCACGGCUAACUACGUGCCAGCCGCAGC
RNAcentral lists this ribosomal RNA (525 nucleotides) under uncultured bacterium. RNAcentral's name for it is "bacterial SSU rRNA". It matches the Rfam family "Bacterial small subunit ribosomal RNA", at positions 20 to 518 of the family's 1533-position model. The record is from RNAcentral.